CCUACGGGAGGCAGCAGUGGGGGAUAUUGCACAAUGGGGGGAACCCUGAUGCAGCGACGCCGCGUGGGUGAAGAAGCGCCUCGGCGCGUAAAGCCCUGUCAGCAGGGAAGAAAAUGACGGUACCUGAAGAAGAAGCCCCGGCUAACUACGUGCCAGCCGCCGCGGUAAUACGUAGGGGGCAAGCGUUAUCCGGAUUUACUGGGGGGAAAGGGGGCGCAGGCGGCGAUGCAAGCCAGGAGUGAAAGCCCGGGGCCCAACCCCGGGACUGCUCUUGGAACUGCGUGGCUGGAGUGCAGGAGGGGCAGGCGGAAUUCCUGGUGUAGCGGUGAAAUGCGUAGAUAUCAGGAGGAACACCGGUGGCGAAGGCGGCCUGCUGGACUGCAACUGACGUUGAGGCCCGAAAGCGUGGGGAGCAAACAGGAUUAGAUACCCCAGUAGUC
RNAcentral lists this ribosomal RNA (440 nucleotides) under uncultured bacterium. RNAcentral's name for it is "partial 16S ribosomal RNA". It matches the Rfam family "Bacterial small subunit ribosomal RNA", at positions 338 to 795 of the family's 1533-position model. The record is from RNAcentral.